Molecule: small RNA, 707 nt
Filed under: Histoplasma ohiense
Lineage: Eukaryota; Fungi; Ascomycota; Eurotiomycetes; Onygenales; Ajellomycetaceae
Description: hypothetical lncRNA
Source: RNAcentral
CCUCUGAUAUAUUACCAUAUUAUCUUCUACAACUUAAUCCUUGCAGAGUCUUAAGGACUUCUUGUGAUAUAAGCAGCUGAUCCUCAUACCGCUGCUUACACCUUCAUCAGAAGCUCAUUCUAUCAUAUACACAGUCUGUCUUCAUUCAUUGUGUCAGAUAGAGACAGUCAAUUUGUCAGCACACUCUGAGCCUGUGUAUGUCAAUUAUUAAGAAUUGAACAAAAAUUAUCAACAGCAUAUCACUCAGAGACUGAUGAAGCUACUGAGAGAAUGAUACAAAUGAUAAAGAACAUCCUUCAUAAGUUCUGCAAUUACACACAAAACAACUGAAGCAAUCUACUGCCACACACUGAGAUUGCAAUUAACAGUUGAGAUUUCACUACAACAGACAUAAGCUCAUUCUUUCUUUUAUAUGAAUACAACUUAGAGAUUCUGAACUUCUCUGAGACUCUCUGAGAAAUCACACACACCUGCAGCUUCAUACAGACAGCAGAGAAUAUUGUAAGCAAGCUGAAGAAAGUCUGUGAAUGAGCAGAAGCUUCAAUGAUCAAUGUUCAGUAAAAUUAUAAAAAUCAAAUGAACAUCAGAAGAAGUUCUGCAACUCAAUAUUAUAUAAAAGACAAAAUCUGAUUGAAUCUCAAGAAUAUAAGAACAGACCACCCCUCACAUACACUAGAUUAUCACCACAUCAAGUAUACAGUGAAGAA